AGCGAACGCUGGCGGCAGGCCUAACACAUGCAAGUCGAACGAACUCUUCGGAGUUAGUGGCGGACGGGUGAGUAACACGUGGGAACGUGCCUUUUGGUUCGGAAUAACUCAGGGAAACUUGUGCUAAUACCGAAUGUGCCCUUCGGGGGAAAGAUUUAUCGCCAUUAGAGCGGCCCGCGUCUGAUUAGCUAGUUGGUGAGGUAACGGCUCACCAAGGCGACGAUCAGUAGCUGGUCUGAGAGGAUGACCAGCCACACUGGGACUGCGACACGGCCCAGACUCCUACGGGAGGGAGCAGUGGGGAAUCUUGCGCAAUGGGCGAAAGCCUGACGCAGCCAUGCCGCGUGAAUGAUGAAGGUCCUAGGAUUGUAAAAUUCUUUCACCGGGGACGAUAAUGACGGUACCCGGAGAAGAAGCCCCGGCUAACUUCGUG
This 433-nucleotide ribosomal RNA is filed under the name uncultured bacterium. RNAcentral's name for it is "partial 16S ribosomal RNA". It matches the Rfam family "Bacterial small subunit ribosomal RNA", at positions 29 to 507 of the family's 1533-position model. The record is from RNAcentral.